AUUUAGCUAAAAUAUCCUCUUUCAGCAAAUAAUGGUGAUGUAUCAUUGGAUGUGCCUUUUUAACCUGAUUUAAUGGCAAUCAAAUUCCGGUAAUAUGGUCUUUAAGAAAUCUAGAAAGAAAAAUAAACCAUACAUUACUUCCUUGCUGAAAAAAAAUAAUGAAGAUGGAGAAGAGGAGAGAAGAAAGAAAGCUUAUUUAUAUGAAAGUUGUUGGCAUUAGAUAUUGUGGAUUUCUUAAACCUCAUGAUCAUGAAGUGGAGUCUCCCCCCAACCUUCCCUUCUUCCCUAUAUCAUCAGAAACAGAAGAAAAUGACCUUGAGAUUAAGAGUGUUGCACUUUGCUUCAAAGUCAAGCUGGUCAUGGUGGUACAGAGCGUCAUGAAAAUCCAAGUUAUUUCAAACAUCCUCUGUUUAUUUCUUAUGCUAUGAAAAGAUUUCAUCUGAUUUUUUACAUUUCCUUUUAUUUCAUAUGUUUGUUGCUCAUACAUCAAUUA
RNAcentral lists this unclassified non-coding RNA (493 nucleotides) under Hevea brasiliensis (rubber tree). The record is from RNAcentral. Lineage: Eukaryota; Viridiplantae; Streptophyta; Magnoliopsida; Malpighiales; Euphorbiaceae.